AUACUUAGCUGGCAGGGGAUAUACAAUGAUCUCGAAGGUGGUUUUCCCAGGGCGAGGCUUAUCCAUUGCACUCUGGCUGUGCUACCCCCCCCCCCAAUUUUCCCAAAUGUAGGAAACUCGGCUGCAUAAUUUAUGGUUGUGGGGGACUGAGAUUCUGCUUGCUUCUG
Cricetulus griseus (Chinese hamster) is the source of this 167-nucleotide small nuclear RNA. Its record names the gene U1. It matches the Rfam family "U1 spliceosomal RNA". Rfam says of the family: U1 is a small nuclear RNA (snRNA) component of the spliceosome (involved in pre-mRNA splicing). Lineage: Eukaryota; Metazoa; Chordata; Mammalia; Rodentia; Cricetidae. The record is from Ensembl.